AGUGAACGCUGGCGGUAGGCCUAACACAUGCAAGUCGAACGGCAGCACAGUAAGAGCUUGCUCUUACGGGUGGCGAGUGGCGGACGGGUGAGGAAUACAUCGGCAUCUACUUUUUCGUGGGGGAUAACGUAGGGAAACUUCCGCUAAUACCGCAUACGACCUACGGGUGAAAGCAGGGGAUCUUCGGACCUUGCGCGAUUGAAUGAGCCGAUGUCGGAUUAGCUAGUUGGCGGGGUAAAGGCCCACCAAGGCGACGAUACGUAGCUGGUCUGAGAGGAUGAUCAGCCACACUGGAACUGAGACACGGUCCAGACUCCUACGGGAGGCAGCAGUGGGGAAUAUUGGACAAUGGGCGCAAGCCUGAUCCAGCCAUACCGCGUGAGUGAAGAAGGCCUUCGGGUUGUAAAGCCCUUUUGUUGGGAAAGAAAAACAGCAGGUUAAUACCCCGCUGUUCUGACGGUACCCAAAGAAUAAGCACCGGCUAACUUCGUG
RNAcentral lists this ribosomal RNA (492 nucleotides) under uncultured bacterium. Its description in RNAcentral is "partial 16S ribosomal RNA". It matches the Rfam family "Bacterial small subunit ribosomal RNA", at positions 29 to 507 of the family's 1533-position model. The record is from RNAcentral.